UUCUCAUUAGGUAAUCUUAGUCCAUUCCUUUAUUUUAUUUUAUUUUAUUGACUAACUAAAUCCAUCAAGGGGUUUAUUGGGCUCAACUCAGGCUACUAAAGGCCUGAAUCUCGACCCACCAUAAAUCUUAGGCCCCCAUUUUUUGUUUCUUUUCUGUUGCGCUUAGGCUACCCAUGAUUCAAAUUUGGGCCUCACAUGUUUGUCAACCUGGCCCACUAUCCACAACCCUUUCAGUCAGUCUAUUAUCUUUAACUUCCCAGAACCCUAAUGGGGUUAUUAAACCUAAAUCGCAUUUAUUACGACUACAACAUUUAAAUCAUCAUCGGAUUCACGCAUUUCAGACAUCAAUAUCAAAUGAAACUUCAUCAUGUCCAAAUAUUAAGUUAUAAAUCACAUUAUAAAAUCAAAUUAUUACAUUAUUUCACAUAUAGAGAGUUAAAGUAUACAUUACGCUUACCCCUCUUUGAAUCUCAGAGGAACUAAGUAGAAUUGUAGUGUGGACCUCUUUUCUUCACAUGUAUCUACACACACACACACGAGUAAACAGAUCUAGGUUACCUUGACAUCCGACCUAAAAUACUGAGUUUCCUUUUGAUUCGAGGUUUAAAAUGUAAAAAUUUGCAUCUAAUGUAAGGUUACCUCUCUUCAACUCUUAAAGAAGAGCUAGGACGCCAUGAAAAUUGCUCAAAAGCCUAUAUUCUCUUCUUUCC
RNAcentral lists this long non-coding RNA (710 nucleotides) under Carica papaya (papaya). RNAcentral's name for it is "long non-coding RNA (CPAP_LNC009377)". Lineage: Eukaryota; Viridiplantae; Streptophyta; Magnoliopsida; Brassicales; Caricaceae. The record is from RNAcentral.